RNAcentral lists this long non-coding RNA (468 nucleotides) under Triticum aestivum (bread wheat). RNAcentral describes it as "long non-coding RNA (TAES_LNC008974)". The record is from RNAcentral. Lineage: Eukaryota; Viridiplantae; Streptophyta; Magnoliopsida; Poales; Poaceae.
GGCAAAUUAUGACCAAGGAAAUAAAUAAGGGAUACACAAGAUAAUACAACGCCGAGACAAACCAAAAUGUUUAGGGACAUGACAGGGCAUUUGGAAAUGCAUACGGCAUCUGCCAUCAUCAUCAGAUAAAUUUCAACAACAAAACAGAAACAGAAAUAUAGUGUUCAGCCCAGGUCCCAUCAAUAUCAGAUUGGUACAUCACAAGUUCACAACCAUCCUUAUUGGAAGCAAAACAGAACAGAGGCAACCUAGGUUUGGAGGCAGACCUGGGGCGCGCGCUCGCGGAUCACUCGGACAGGGCUUCGGCGGAGGCGGAGGCGGCGGAGAGCUCCUGCUGCUGGAGGCGCUCGAGCGCCUUGUGGUGCGCCCAGGUCUCGAGGGUGAGGUCGGGCUUGGCGUUGAGCCCGACGCCGAGGAUGACGACGGUGAGGAAGGAGGUGACGUAGCAGGGGAGCUCCCAGUCCUCCC